RNAcentral lists this RNase P RNA (415 nucleotides) under Streptomyces boncukensis. RNAcentral describes it as "Bacterial RNase P class A". It matches the Rfam family "Bacterial RNase P class A". From Rfam's summary of the family: Ribonuclease P (RNase P) is a ubiquitous endoribonuclease, found in archaea, bacteria and eukarya as well as chloroplasts and mitochondria. Its best characterised activity is the generation of mature 5'-ends of tRNAs by cleaving the 5'-leader elements of precursor-tRNAs. Cellular RNase Ps are ribonucleoproteins. Lineage: Bacteria; Bacillati; Actinomycetota; Actinomycetes; Kitasatosporales; Streptomycetaceae. The record is from Rfam by way of RNAcentral.
CGAGCCGGCCGGGCGGCCGCGUCGGAGCUCUUCGGGGCUCCGCCGAGGAAGGUCCGGGCUCCACAGGGCAGGAUGGUGGGUAACGCCCACCCGGGGCGACCCGCGGGACAGUGCCACAGAAAACAGACCGCCGGGGCCGUACCCGUACGGCACCCGGUAAGGGUGAAACGGUGGUGUAAGAGACCACCAGCGCCCAGGGCGACCUGGGCGGCUCGGUAAACCCCAUCCGGAGCAAGGUCAAGAGGGGCCGGUCGCGACAGAGCGGCCCUGCGCGGACGACCGAGGGCAGCCCGCCCGAGUCCGCGGGUAGACCGCAGGAGGCCGGUGGCAACACCGGCCCUAGAUGGAUGGCCGCCACCCCGGGCGCCGCGAGGCACCCGGGUGACAGAACCCGGCCUACAGGCCGACUCGUCCG